RNAcentral lists this ribosomal RNA (1528 nucleotides) under Klebsiella pneumoniae. RNAcentral describes it as "bacterial SSU rRNA". It matches the Rfam family "Bacterial small subunit ribosomal RNA". Lineage: Bacteria; Pseudomonadati; Pseudomonadota; Gammaproteobacteria; Enterobacterales; Enterobacteriaceae. The record is from RNAcentral.
AGAGUUUGAUCAUGGCUCAGAUUGAACGCUGGCGGCAGGCCUAACACAUGCAAGUCGAGCGGUAGCACAGAGAGCUUGCUCUCGGGUGACGAGCGGCGGACGGGUGAGUAAUGUCUGGGAAACUGCCUGAUGGAGGGGGAUAACUACUGGAAACGGUAGCUAAUACCGCAUAACGUCGCAAGACCAAAGUGGGGGACCUUCGGGCCUCAUGCCAUCAGAUGUGCCCAGAUGGGAUUAGCUAGUAGGUGGGGUAACGGCUCACCUAGGCGACGAUCCCUAGCUGGUCUGAGAGGAUGACCAGCCACACUGGAACUGAGACACGGUCCAGACUCCUACGGGAGGCAGCAGUGGGGAAUAUUGCACAAUGGGCGCAAGCCUGAUGCAGCCAUGCCGCGUGUGUGAAGAAGGCCUUCGGGUUGUAAAGCACUUUCAGCGGGGAGGAAGGCGUUAAGGUUAAUAACCUUGGCGAUUGACGUUACCCGCAGAAGAAGCACCGGCUAACUCCGUGCCAGCAGCCGCGGUAAUACGGAGGGUGCAAGCGUUAAUCGGAAUUACUGGGCGUAAAGCGCACGCAGGCGGUCUGUCAAGUCGGAUGUGAAAUCCCCGGGCUCAACCUGGGAACUGCAUUCGAAACUGGCAGGCUAGAGUCUUGUAGAGGGGGGUAGAAUUCCAGGUGUAGCGGUGAAAUGCGUAGAGAUCUGGAGGAAUACCGGUGGCGAAGGCGGCCCCCUGGACAAAGACUGACGCUCAGGUGCGAAAGCGUGGGGAGCAAACAGGAUUAGAUACCCUGGUAGUCCACGCCGUAAACGAUGUCGAUUUGGAGGUUGUGCCCUUGAGGCGUGGCUUCCGGAGCUAACGCGUUAAAUCGACCGCCUGGGGAGUACGGCCGCAAGGUUAAAACUCAAAUGAAUUGACGGGGGCCCGCACAAGCGGUGGAGCAUGUGGUUUAAUUCGAUGCAACGCGAAGAACCUUACCUGGUCUUGACAUCCACAGAACUUUCCAGAGAUGGAUUGGUGCCUUCGGGAGCUGUGAGACAGGUGCUGCAUGGCUGUCGUCAGCUCGUGUUGUGAAAUGUUGGGUUAAGUCCCGCAACGAGCGCAACCCUUAUCCUUUGUUGCCAGCGGUUCGGCCGGGAACUCAAAGGAGACUGCCAGUGAUAAACUGGAGGAAGGUGGGGAUGACGUCAAGUCAUCAUGGCCCUUACGACCAGGGCUACACACGUGCUACAAUGGCAUAUACAAAGAGAAGCGACCUCGCGAGAGCAAGCGGACCUCAUAAAGUAUGUCGUAGUCCGGAUUGGAGUCUGCAACUCGACUCCAUGAAGUCGGAAUCGCUAGUAAUCGUAGAUCAGAAUGCUACGGUGAAUACGUUCCCGGGCCUUGUACACACCGCCCGUCACACCAUGGGAGUGGGUUGCAAAAGAAGUAGGUAGCUUAACCUUCGGGAGGGCGCUUACCACUUUGUGAUUCAUGACUGGGGUGAAGUCGUAACAAGGUAACCGUAGGGGAACCUGCGGUUGGAUCACCU